This is a long non-coding RNA of Symphalangus syndactylus (siamang), 10846 nucleotides long. RefSeq lists it as uncharacterized. The record is from RefSeq and is a predicted model, not a curated record. Lineage: Eukaryota; Metazoa; Chordata; Mammalia; Primates; Hylobatidae.
GCACUCCAGCCUGGGCGACAGAGCGAGACUCCAUCUCAAAAAAAAAAAAAAAAAAAAAAAAAAAUUUAAAUGCUCUUCCUUUACCUGGAAGGCGUUUUCCUCACCUGGACCUGCUUGCUGAACUCUUACUUUUAAAUAUGCCCUCUGUGAAUAUUCUGAGUCUGUCAGAUCUGCCUCUCCUAUAUGAAACUUUUAUACAUUUUAUUGCAUGUCAUAAUUAUUUACACAUCAAUACCUAUACUAGACCCACCAUAAAUUCUUUGGAAAGUAGUAGCUAUGUCCUAUUCAACUUUGUGUCCCCAGUGUCUACCACUGUGCCAGGCUUAUAAUAGAAGUUCAAUAAAUGUUUGUGGGUAAAUGAAUGAUCCUCAUACAGCAUGCAGUACAGGUGAGAAAACAAAGGCUAAAAGAUAUUAAAACAUUUGCCAGAGGCCAAGUUGCUUGUAAGUCACAAAACAUGAUAAACAAUUCAAGUUUUCUGACUUCUGUCCCACUACAUGCUACUAUGUGUAUGUAACCAUCAUAGAAAGGUGAAGAAAGAGAAAGGAAGAAGAUGCAAAGUUUGCCCUUAAGGGGUAUAUAAAUUUCCACAGGCAUUGUAUUAAAUAAAAGAGAAGAGUUAGAAAACAGAGCUAUGGUAAUGAAUGAACUAUAUAUUUAAGAUACAGUCUUUCAGAGGACUAGCAAGAGUUAUUAUUUUUAAAGCUUAGCAGAACAAAUGGCUUCUACAAUCAAAUGUACUCAUUAGUAAACACUGGAGGGGAAAAUGCCUUUUGAUAGAAAAUUCCCAACUACAGAUAUUUACUUUGUUCCCUGCCUGAACGAAGAUGGAUAUUUUAACUUUGGAUAUGUUCUGUUCUUGGACAUAUAUAAGUUAAUGUGAUACAACUACAUGGCAAUCUGAAAAUUACAUUCCUCUCCAUCAUUUGAGCUGAACCUAUAAAUAAAUAAACCUUAGCCCAAAUAAGAAAUUGUUUAAAAAUGAAUCUCUAGAUUUGGAGCACUGGAACUGAACUCCCAUUUGUAAUCGAAUGCUGUGAUUAAAUAAAAGUAGCAUGGGAAAUGGAAACCUUGGUUCUAUAUGGAAUCAGCCCCCAAACUAUGUGGUUGGUCCUGAUGAGUCAUUUAACUCACAUGUUUAAAAUUUCUCACUUGUAAAAUAAAAGAGCAGGACUAGAUGCUCUUCAGAAUUCUGAAGUACCCUGAUUAAUCAUCCUUUUAUACUUUUAUUUGGGAUAAAGCUGAUUAAAAACACUUGUGUUCAAACCCCCAAAUCUACUAUUUAGGAGGUAGGAUGACUUGAACAAGUGGUUGACCACACAGUGCCUGAGUUUAUUAGUAACAUAAAAGUUGUGAGGAUUAAAUGGGUUAAUACGUGAAGCAUGGUUAAAACAGUGUUUCACACAUAGUAUGCAUUACGCAUGUUUUAGCUAUUAUUAUUUUACCCCCCUAACUUUCAGUAAUGGAAAUGUGAAUAUAAGAACGUAAAAAUUAUGUUACAAUGGGAGUUCCACAUAAGCUAAUCCAAACCCAAGGACUUGGUGAUUUGCAGAUGUAUUCCAUGCAUAUAUAUUUUACAUUUUCAUAUUCUCCCACUAAAACAUAAUUGACUGGUACUGCCAGCUUCUACUUGGGAUGCAGAAGGUUGCAAAGGGCAUUGCUUCCAACCUCAAUACAAUAAAAAUAGCCAAUAAAAUCGCAGACAAUAGGAAAACCUCUAACUUUUCUUGAAAUCAUUAGAGAAAUUGUGUUUAUUAUCUUUUAUUCAGCUUUUCAGAAUAUCAUAUUUAUCAUUUUGUUAGAAGUAGUUUUUGUAUUCAUUUUUUUCCUAUAGGAGCUCAUAGUGCUAUCCUACUCAUUAUAACUUUACCUGAAAACUAUGUUACUGUUUUAGUUUUCUUCACAAAGAUUAAAAUAAAUGAAUAGGUGAGCUGAGCACUGUGGAACACGCCCACAGAUACUUGAAAAGGCUGAGGUGGGAGGAUCCCUUUAAGAAAGGAGUUUAAGACCAGCCUGGGCAACAUGGUAAAGCUCUAUUAUCUUUUUAAAAUUUUUAAAUUGGAUGUGAAUGGUGGCAUGUGUCUGUAGUUCCAGCUACUCAGGAGGCUGAGGCAGGAGGAUUCCUUGAGCCCAGGAGUUCAAGGCUGCAGUAAGCUAUGAUCAUGCCACUGCACUCCAGCCUGGGCGACAGAGUGAGACCCUGUCUAUUUAAAAAAAAAAAUAGUUGGAUGCUUUUGUAAUACUCUGGAUGUGGGAAAAAAUGUCUCUAGGAUCUGUCUUUCACUGUUCUUUUAUGUCCUUACUGCUUCUGUGACAAAUCUAUUCCCAGAUCAUUCUGCUUGCCUUCACUUUUCUUGACUUAAAAUCUCUGGAAUUGGUUCAGGUGAGUUUCUUGCUUAGGCUUCCUUCAGAAAAAGCAUUUUUCUUGAUUAAAAAUGGUCUCUGUGCUCAGCAGAUUCUGUUCUCCAGGACCACCAUUUUUCAGGCACAGAAUGUGACACUCCUCUCAUUCCAGUUACAAUGUUCCUCUUGCCUUACCUCUUUCCAGAUGAGGUCCAAUUACAAGGAUCUUCACUAAUGUAAUGUACUGCGUUUCUUAGCUCUCCGUCUAGAUUUUGUUUUAGAGCAUCAUGACUUUAUCACCAUAGUAUGUUAUACAAAGUGGCCUACAUUCAAAAUUUAAUUAACUCCUCAAGUGAGCUAUCACAUAAUUGGGAGGGCAAAGAACCUUAUUCUUAUACCCAUUCCACUGGAUACUUUGAGCAUAUCCAACAACCAUUAAUUAAACACUCCAAAGGAAGAAAGAGAAAGCAGUUUUUGUUUUUUGGUUCUUCUAAAUCAAAAUUGAGCAAGAGAGAGAAAGAGGGUCCAGUGAACCUAACAGCAUGUGGGUGGAUUCUGCUCAGCGUACGGUAAUACUACCAUCCACAUUUUAAUCAACAGAAUUCACACUGAUCAGUGUUAUUACAGCAAAUGCUAAUUAAAUGUACCAUGUCUUGACACUUAAAAUAAAGUGUUACCAAAUUCAACCUCAAGCCGCAGGGAUCAAAUUCCUCUGAAAGCUACAAUUUGCACAAAAGCUCACUCAAUAAGAAAUGUGUUUUUCAGCUGUUUUCCCACAACAUAACAAUAAAUAGAAACAGACCUGGGAAGCAGCAAGACCAUUAAGAAUAACAAAUCAAAGAUGAUGUACAAGCUACAAAACAAUUUUCUCCUCACAUAAAUAAGUGCAAUAUACAAGAUUUUUUAAUAACAUGCCAGAAGACAUCAGUGCUCUGGGAGUCAAGAUACCUGGGUCCCUGUUCUAGUACUUUCAAUAAUUAGGAGUGUGAUCUUGAACAAACCACAAAACCUGUCUAAGCAUCAUUUUCUGCACAGGUAAAACGACAGAAUUGGGCAAAAUGACCUAAAUUUCCUUCUAGGAGCAAGUUACAUGAAUUUUUAAAAAUAAUAUGUAAAUGCUUUAUCAUGGCAGAGAGCGAUAUAAAUGAAAGUCUUUAACAUGAUCAUUCUUUGACACUGUGUCAGAGUUGGAGCAACAAAAGAUGAAUAAGGAAGAGUAGAAAUAAAUAAAUAUCAAGCAUCCACUUCUCAAUUUUUUCCUUUGAAAACCACCCGAAAUCUCUCUUCCUGGCAGCACAUGAAAGAAGGGUGUUGGAAAAGGUUGUUACCGAUAGGAAAGUAAUUUAUCUCUUCUGCUAUUGUAGUAGUUAAUGAGGGGCUAAGGGAGAGAACAAGAGUUUAGAGAGUUCCAUGGGAAGACAUUUACAAAAGGAAAAGGAUUACUACUUAAUAAACCAGUGGUUCCCAAUGUUUCGGGUGCAUCAGAGUCACCUGGGGCUUUCAUUAAGUCAGAAAUUCAGAAGGUUUGGGGUGGGCUUCAAAAAUCUUGCACCUGACAGGUUCCUUGGAUGAUUGUAAUAAAGGUAGUCCUGGACCACAUUUUUAAAAACACAUCACUAAACAGAGUUCAAAUUAUAAAAUUUCCUAUGAAACUGUGGAACAGUGCCUGCAGAACUGAACUUUCUGGAACCUUUUUAAGGAGAUUUAACCAAAAUCCCAGCACAUGAUCUUUUAACAGCAACAGGCUAUAUAAUCAGAAUUCUAGAACUGAAAAUAUCAUGAAAGUAGCAUAAUUUAACAUAUUUCUCCUAAACAAAUGGCCCCCAACUAAUUUUCAAAUAAGGAAACAUUUCUAUUAAUUCCAGCAGUAUCGUUUUCUGAUUCGUCUUUGUCACCAUAACUCAGCAUUUAUAGAGCUUCACUUCUUAGCACACACAAAAGUCAGAAUUUAGAAUACGGAUGAUGAAGAAAAAUUUAUAUUUACAACUGGGACUUAAUUCACUACAAUACACCAAAGAACACAACAAAAAUAGUUCAGUUAACUUUUUUUUAACACUUGUUAGAAUUAAUACCUCAUAAUAUCUCUUCAGUGCCUACCUAAUAGUUACAUGGCUUUGGCUGUUACAUGACAUCAAGUAAAAUUAAUUUUUAAACCAUCUGCACUAGUGGGCUUUUAGAUAUAUUGUAAGUGCGGAUCACAUUCUGACCUCAAAAGAAUAUACCUUGGAAGUGGAUCAUUUGUUUUUCAGCUGUCACCCAUUUCCUCAUGAUAGUCUAUAUGUAUUUAGCACUGAGGAUUAAGUUGUUUGACAAGUCACAUUAAAUCACCUGUGUUGCAAACUAAUGAAUACCAAGUGAGGGAUCAGGGAGUACAUAUAAAUUAAUCUUAAUAUAAAACUAUCUCUUCAAUAGAACACUUCUAUAUUCUUUUUAUAUUAUUUCUAUUUGAAGACAUUGUAACUAGCUUACUUUAGAAUCAAACCUAUUUUAUUAUUCAUAUGUUAUAUAGGAUGUGAUAAGACCACCUAAAGUAAUAGGCUAUUUAAUAAAUUGUGUGCAUGUACGUGUUUUCUGUAGAUAGGAGGAAAAUGAAUAUCACCUAAAGAAAAAUGUUUAGAAAGAGCUGAGCAACAAAAUCAAAACAAUCUUUGGUGUUGUGUAAAUAAAUUUAAUAAAAAUAUUGACUUCAAAGGCAGAAUAAAUAACUGUAGGGGGAAAGAAAAAUAUCCCCAUUGCAAAAGGACAAUCACAAAGGAAGCUGUGCACUGCCAACUUGUCUCUUUCUAAACCACAUGGAGCAGAGAAAAACUAUGUCUAGCAAAAAACAUUUUCUUUGAGGCUAGGCACGGUGGCUCAUGCCUGUAAUCCUGGUACUUUGGGAGGCUGAGGCAGGCGGCUCACUAGCCCAGGAGUUUGAGACCAGCCUGGGCAACAUGACAAAACCAUAUCUCUAAGAAAAUACAAAAAAUUAGCCGGGUGUGGUGGUGUGCACCUAUAGUCCCAGCCACUCAGGAGGCUGAGGUGGGAAGAUUGCUUGAGCCUGGGAGGUCGAGGCUUCAGUGAGCAGAGAUCACACCAUUGCACUCCAGCCUGGGCAACAGAGGGAAAACCUGUCUCAAAAAAAUAAAAAAACAAACAAACAAAACAUUUUCUUCAAUGCAUAAAGAAGUUAUAGAAAAGGUAGAGUGAUUUGGGAAGCAAACAAACGCUUUCUCCCUAAGAAGUUAAAGUCAUAGUAGACUGCCUACCCAGACUUCUGGCAGUACAUUAGUUGUAGUAGGUGCAAAUUACCUCAUAAGUCUUUGUAUCUGAAAAAUAUGUUUAAAGUAUGCCAAGUGCUAUUUUCUACGCAUAAUGGGAAAACAACCAAAAAUCUUUACUUCAUGUUAUAUGUGCAAAAAAAAAAAAAAAAUGCCAAUGUGUUAAGAAAAAUCCUUGAAUAUUCUUAAGAUGGAUUUUCAACUAUAGACCAUUUGUCAAACUUCUUCUCCUUGGGUAAAAGUAAGGAUACCCUAUUAGACUGCAUAAUCUAACAUGUCACUCUUCUUUAAGUUAAGAGGUAGUGAUAUUGACAAUGAGGUUGCCAGUUUGGGAGAUAUCACUGGCAUUAUACCUGAUGAUCACAUCCCAUAGAGCAAACUAGAGAGGAUACGGAAGGACAUAGCUGAUAUGGAAGGUGCAUUUUCAGGAACCAGAAAUCAAUUGCAGUCCUUGUAAGCAGUGACUUAUAAAAAUUGACUUGGGUAUCAGAGUAUCUGGAUUACAGUCCCAGAUGCCACGAACUAAUUGUGUGACUUUUGGUAAGAUACAGCCUUUAUUUCUUUAGGGUGUCCUCCAGCUUUUAUGAUCUAGAAUCCCAUGAAAUUAUGACGUUGACAUAUGCAUGGGGUUCACUUAUAAUUCUAGGAGCUCAGCCUUGGUUCAAAGGAGUUCUGCAUAAAAUUUUAGAAGUCUAGUACAUCUCUGGAUAACCUUCCUUUCUUGCUGCAAUUUGAAGGAGCAUUUGCUGUUCUAUUUCUUUGCCUCACACAAGCAGCCAACGUUUUUCCUCCAAAUUAGGCUUCCCCUCCCCACCCAAUCUCUGAUUGCUGUGUUUAUCCUAGUGUAUCUUGACUGUUUCUAUUUCCAUUCCAUUUUGUACAGGAGGACCAACUUCUGUCUUGAUGAAUGAAUCUCCUGGGAGAAGCAAUCCAUUUUUACAAACACUCUCAGAAGACAAUUUCAACUAUACCAGCUCUACUUCCAUAUUCAGUUCCCCUGCACAUAGGAGGAAAAAAAAGUCAAACUGUUCAGAAGAAAAGCAUUCCUAUCUGGAAGAGUCAGGAGGCACAUAAGAAAGGAAGGAUGAGCAAGAAUGUGGAGGAUUUUUCAUCUCUUCAUUUUUCCUAACCCACAUGGACAGAAGAGAGAGGACUGGUGCAAAGCCAAGAAACUUGCAAAACAAGUCUAACUGCGUAAAUGAUAUAUCCAUAUGAAAACGGACCCAUGUAACUUGCAAACUACAGCCAAAACUUAAGGGCCAUUCAAAAUAAAUGUUGACACAAGUUAUUGAUAUAAUAUGAAUACAAAGUGAUUUAUAUUUAAUAAGCAGAAUGGACAAAAUGAGAAUACAUAAAUAGGGAAGAAAAAUGUUUGCAAGUUUUGAGAAAUUAUUUUGAAUAAAUUAGAAAAGGAAAAGACAGCACAUAUACUUUAUUUCUUCUGAUGAUUAGAAAAUAGAGCAGAUUGCUUCUCAGUCUUUUGGCUAAGAUCAAGUGUAGAAAAUAGAGCAGAAUUAUUACUUUCCUUUUCUAAAUAGCCCAUCAGCUUUUUCUGGCAGCCCAUACCACUGUUCGUUCACAUGAAACUCAAUGCUAAUCAGAAUUUCUAAGUCUUUUCCAAACGUAUUAAGAGGUAUUCCUAUGGUUUGAAUAUGUCCCCCAAAAUUCAUGUGUUGGAAAUGUAACUACUAUUGUAAUAGUAUUAAAAGACGGGGCCUUUAAAAGAUUAGAUCAUGAGGGCUUAGCCUGCAGGAAUGGAUUAAUGCUCCUAUUACAGGAGUAAGUUCUAGGGUGGCCUCUUGAUAAAAAGGGUGAGUUCAGCCCAUUUCUCUGUCUCAUGUACUUGCUUCCAUCUUCUCUCUUUCUGCUGUGGGAUGACCCUCACCAGAUGCCAAUUCUAUGCUCCUGGACUUCCCAGUCUCCAAAACUAUGAGCCAAAUAAACUUGUUUUCCUUAUAAAUUACUCAGUCUGUGGUAUUCUGUCACAGCAGCAGAAAAUGAAUUAAGACAUAUAUGCUAAGAAGUCUAUCCACUAAUCUGUACCUGAGACAAUGUUUUUCUUUUCGGGAAAAUAUCAAUACAGGGCUUUAGGUUUAUCUCUAUCUAAAUGUAUCCUGUUAAUUUCAGCCUAUUAUUUUUAUUCUGCUAGAAUACUUUUUGGAUCUCCAUUUUAUAACUGUAAUACAUUUACUAAUGUUAUCGGCUUUGUUUCAUCUGCAGAUUUGCUGAGCAUAUCUAUAUGUUUAGGGAAGGAACAGGACAACAAAGGAGGACAACUAAAGCACACUAUUGUUUUUAUUUUUAUUUAUUUUUAUUGUUGGGAAUAGAGUCUCACUCUGUCACCUAGGCUGAAGUGCAAUGGAGCCAUCAUGGCUCACUGCAGUUUCAACCUCCUGGGCUCAAGCACUCCUACCGCCUCAGCCUUCUGCCUCAGCCUCCUGAGUUCCUAGGACCACAGGACAUGUGCAUAGACAUGUGCCACCAUACUCAGCUAAUUAAAAAAAAAUUGUAGAUUGUAGAGACAGGGCCUCACUAUGUUACCCAGGCUGGUCUUGAACUCCUGGCCUCGCGUGAUCCUCCUACCUCAGCCUCCCAAAGUAUUGAGUUUAUAGGCGUUAGCUACUGCACCCAGCCAAGCACACUAUUUUUAAAGAUCAGUUUUUACCAUGUGGAAUGCAUGAUAAGGUAUAUUGAAUUCCAGAUUCUUGGAAAUUAUCUCUAAACACACAGCUUCUUUUUAUAAAUAUUUUUAUAUUUUUGGAUUAUAAUAGUAAUUUUAAACCCUGUUUGGUGUUUACUUUUCUGCUAAGCAUAAGGGUUUUUGUUUUUUUUUUUAGUCUAAAGUACUAAUUAAUAGUAUGGUAAGUGCUACCAGAUAAUGAGGGCAGAUGGCAGUCACAGGCUAUGGUAACUAUGGACCCAUAGGGUCUUUUAGUCACAGCACUCACUGAUACACCUGCACCUCAACACUUCAAUUCUGAACCAAUGCUGAAAAUAGAAACUCAUUCUGAAAAGAUAUGGCAUAUGCAGAAGGUAGAAUUCUAAGAUGGUCCCCAAGAUUCCUUCCUUUUGCACACACCAUUUAUCAUCCCCUCCCAUUGAGUACAGACAGGUAUAUAAUAUGAUGGAUUUUAUUGCCAUGAUUAAGUGACAUUACCUGACAAAGAUGAAGGAAUGUUGUGGAUGUAAUCUCAAAUCAGUUGAUUUUGAGUCAAAACAAAAAUUAUCCUGGAUGAUCUAACUUGAUCAGGUGAGUUAUUCAAAAGAGAAAGAUGUUUGAAAUGAAAGAGAUUCUCCUGGUUGUUCUGAAGAAGAAAGCCAUCCAGGCUAUGAGAGAAAUACAUGGCCAUCUCCUGAGGACAGCCUCUAGAAGCUGAGGCCAGCACAAAACAAAACAAACGAAAAAACAAAUAAAACAGGGAUCUCCAUCCUAUAACCACAAGGGAACUAAUUCUGCCAAGGACCAGAAUGAACUUGGAAGGGGACUCCAAGCUCCUGAUAAGACCACAGCCCCAGCUGAAGCCUAGAGACCUAGAGAGACCCUGAGCAGAGGACACAGUCAGGUCAUCCAGCCUAGGCUUCUGACCUACAGAAACUGUGAUAUAAUAAAUGUUUGUUGUUUGAAUGAUGAACUUUGUUGUAGUUUAUGUAGCAAUACAAAACUAACACAGCAUACAAGAAAUAAGACUCAACCAUUCUAACCCUGCCAUCCACCAAAAUACCUAGUGAUUUGAUGGACAAAGCUAACUGAGCUACACUGAAAGCUGUAAGGGAACCUAACAGAAAAACAAAAUUCAGCUAUAAUUGUCAAGGUUUUCUAUUUGGGGCAGUAUCGUGUUUGUGCUGCUCUCAGUAAAAGAGCUAUUUGCAAAGAGAGAAAAACAGCGAAAGACUGAGAGGGAAUCAAUAUAAAUCAUUUACAUAACUGGAGAGACUGAUGAAAAUAGCAUCCAGGAAUAGCAGGGAGUCCAGACCCAUAGAAUACUUGAUGUCAUUACAAAACCUGCAGCAAGAAUUUCCAGGAAGUAAUAGACCCAGAAGGACUACUCGAAGACUUUCUAUGCUGAUUUCAAGGUCUGAGUAUUGAAAUUAACUGAACUGAGCCUCCAAAUCAACUAACUCUCUGGAAAAAGUAGUUUUAGAAUGUGUCUAGUCAUUAGAUAUUUCCAAGGUGAGAAAGUUAAUUUGCUAAAAGUUUUAGAAAUAAACAGUAAUCAACAAAUACAUUACACUAAUAUGCUUUCAAAAAGAAUUUUCAGUCUCCAAUCACAUACUCAACUGUUUUCUAACAAAAAUAACAAGAUAUUCUGGAUGUAGAUAUUUAAAAAUUCCCUUCCUAUUUAUCUUCCUGAACUUUGUUUUACUGUAUAUACUUAAAUCCAGUUAUAUAAAUGCUAUAUUAUUAGAAAUAGAAUUUUUUUUACUACUUAUUUCAUAACUUAGUGAUCCCCAUCUCAUUUAUUUAUGAGCCUUUUAGAAUUUUCUAGAUCAGUGACUACACUGAAAUUAUAGAAAAUUUUUGUCUACUCCUUCUAAAAAUAAUCAAACCAGAAUUCUUCAGAGAAAUUAAUAUUUUAAACUGAAGCAGUUGUGUUUUUUCAGGUGAUAAGCUUUGUUCUUCAGGAUCUGCUACAGUGUACAGUAUUUUUAUAAACUCUCUUAGAGUAUAUCAGCUCAUGUAGUUUUGCAAAUCUAUUUGUCCUGUUUUGCCAUGAAGAAAAAACACUUUUAUCAAGGUAUCUCCACGGAUGUUUCAAUGAAAAUAAGAAAAGAAAAAGAAAUAACUAAUUUGUAAAGACAGCCUUGAUUUUCUUGGACAGUAUUUUAUAAACCACAAAUAAAGAGUCAAAGCCCCAAAUACAAGCAGUAGAAUAAACCUUAAAAACCGAUCACAACAUUUCUUAGGUCUUAGCCACGGAAGUUAUCUUUAAUGAUCCAUAAGGGAAUUGUAUACAAUAGUCGAAGCUCUUAAAUUCAUACACACAUAUCCUUCCAUUUGAGGGAGCAAACUAAACAAUGCUAAUUAUGUUAGACUGAGACAGCUGUUUUGAAAUACAAGGAUUAGAACCUUUUCUAUGGUUCCUACAAUUUUAUUACUCUGAUGUAUUAGUUUUUUAAUUACAAAAUUGGCAAAGAGCAGUGGGCAAUAUUCGGUUUACUGGUUUUGUCCCAAAGCAAAUUUUAUAAUUUUCUUCCAAAAGGAAAACUUCUCUUUCAAAGAAUUAUCCCAUCAACCAGUCAGA